RNAcentral lists this ribosomal RNA (301 nucleotides) under uncultured bacterium. Its description in RNAcentral is "partial 16S ribosomal RNA". It matches the Rfam family "Bacterial small subunit ribosomal RNA", at positions 509 to 807 of the family's 1533-position model. The record is from RNAcentral.
CAGCAGCCGCGGUAAUACAGAGGGUGCGAGCGUUAAUCGGAUUUACUGGGCGUAAAGCGUGCGUAGGCGGCUAAUUGAGUCGGAUGUGAAAUCCCCGAGCUUAACUUGGGAAUUGCAUUCGAUACUGGUUAGCUAGAGUGUGGGAGAGGAUGGUAGAAUUCCAGGUGUAGCGGUGAAAUGCGUAGAGAUCUGGAGGAAUACCGGUGGCGAAGGCGGCCCCCUGGACAAAGACUGACGCUCAGGUGCGAAAGCGUGGGGAGCAAACAGGAUUAGAUACCCCAGUAGUCCCUGUCUCUUAUAC